This 344-nucleotide ribosomal RNA is filed under the name Streptomyces sp. SID4948. Its description in RNAcentral is "partial 23S ribosomal RNA". It matches the Rfam family "Bacterial large subunit ribosomal RNA", at positions 1 to 306 of the family's 2925-position model. Lineage: Bacteria; Bacillati; Actinomycetota; Actinomycetes; Kitasatosporales; Streptomycetaceae. The record is from RNAcentral.
AGUGGACGCGAGCAUCUGUGGCCAAGUUUUUAAGGGCGCACGGUGGAUGCCUUGGCACCAGGAACCGAUGAAGGACGUGGGAGGCCGCGAUAGGCCCCGGGGAGCUGUCAACCGAGCUGUGAUCCGGGGGUGUCCGAAUGGGGAAACCCGGCAGUCGUCAUGGGCUGUCACCCAUGCCUGAACACAUAGGGCAUGUGGAGGGAACGCGGGGAAGUGAAACAUCUCAGUACCCGCAGGAAGAGAAAACAACCGUGAUUCCGGGAGUAGUGGCGAGCGAAACCGGAUGAGGCCAAACCGUAUGCGUGUGAUACCCGGCAGGGGUUGCGCGUGCGGGGUUGUGGGAG